Molecule: ribosomal RNA, 487 nt
Filed under: uncultured bacterium
Lineage: Bacteria
Description: partial 16S ribosomal RNA
Rfam family: Bacterial small subunit ribosomal RNA
Source: RNAcentral
GAUGAACGCUAGCGAUAGGCUUAACACAUGCAAGUCGAGGGGCAGCACAAGGUAGCUUGCUAUCUGGGUGGCGACCGGCGCACGGGUGCGUAACGCGUAUGCAACUUGCCCUAUACAGGAGGAUAACCCGUCGAAAGACGGACUAAUACUGCGUAUGCUCACAACUUGGCAUCAAGUGGUGAGGAAAGAAAUUCGGUAUAGGAUAGGCAUGCGUCCCAUUAGCUUGUUGGUGAGGUAACGGCUCACCAAGGCAACGAUGGGUAGGGGAACUGAGAGGUUUAUCCCCCACACUGGUACUGAGACACGGACCAGACUCCUACGGGAGGCAGCAGUGAGGAAUAUUGGUAAAUGGGCGCGAGCCUGAACCAGCCAAGUCGCGUGAAGGAUGACUGUCUUAUGGAUUGUAAACUUCUUUUAGACGGGAAUAACAAGAGUCACGUGUGACUCCCUGCAUGUACCGUAUGAAUAAGCAUCGGCUAACUCCGUG